Molecule: small nucleolar RNA, 138 nt
Filed under: Gopherus agassizii (Agassiz's desert tortoise)
Lineage: Eukaryota; Metazoa; Chordata; Testudines; Testudinidae
Also listed under: 1 other name
Description: Small nucleolar RNA SNORA64/SNORA10 family
Rfam family: Small nucleolar RNA SNORA64/SNORA10 family
About the family: This family belongs to the H/ACA class of small nucleolar RNAs (snoRNAs) which act as guides in the the modification of uridines to pseudouridines. This family includes the human snoRNAs U64 and ACA10 and mouse MBI-29.
Source: Rfam by way of RNAcentral
AUUCUCUCAGCUCUGCUCAGUUACACUUGGUGAAGUAGUGUAAUUGUCGUCAUUAGAGAGAGAGAGAAAAUGAGUUCAAUAUGCACGGCAGAGGGACUGUGUGAUGUAGUCUCCCUGUUCCUUUUCAGCUCUACAUGU